GUGCCAGCAGCCGCGGUAAUACGUAGGUGGCGAGCGUUGUCCGGAUUUAUUGGGCGUAAAGCGCGCGCAGGUGGUUGUCUAAGUCCGGUGUGAAAUCUCCCGGCUCACCUGGGAGGGGGCGCUGGAGACUGGGCAACUGGAGGCAGGCAGAGGUCGGUGGAAUUCCCGGUGUAGUGGUGAAAUGCGUAGAGAUCGGGAGGAACACCAGUGGCGAAAGCGGCCGGCUGGGCCUGUACUGACGCUGAGGCGCGAAAGCGUGGGGAGCGAACCGGAUUAGAAACCCGCGUAGUCC
Molecule: ribosomal RNA, 292 nt
Filed under: uncultured bacterium
Lineage: Bacteria
Description: partial 16S ribosomal RNA
Rfam family: Bacterial small subunit ribosomal RNA
Source: RNAcentral